GACGAACGCUGGCGGCGUGCUUAACACAUGCAAGUCGAACGGUGAAGCGAGUGCUUACACUCGUGGAUCAGUGGCGAACGGGUGAGUAACACGUGAGUAACCUGCCCAUCACCCUGGGAUAAGCACUGGAAACGGUGUCUAAUACUGGAUACGACCAACCCUUGCAUGGGGUGUUGGUGGAAAGAUUUAUCGGUGAUGGAUGGACUCGCGGCCUAUCAGCUUGUUGGCGGGGUAAUGGCCCACCAAGGCGACGACGGGUAGCCGGCCUGAGAGGGUGACCGGCCACACUGGGACUGAGACACGGCCCAGACUCCUACGGGAGGCAGCAGUGGGGAAUAUUGCACAAUGGGCGAAAGCCUGAUGCAGCGACGCCGCGUGAGGGAUGACGGCCUUCGGGUUGUAAACCUCUUUCAGCAGGGAAGAAGCGAAAGUGACGGUACCUGCAGAAGAAGCACCGGCUAACUACGUG
This 469-nucleotide ribosomal RNA is filed under the name uncultured bacterium. Its description in RNAcentral is "partial 16S ribosomal RNA". It matches the Rfam family "Bacterial small subunit ribosomal RNA", at positions 28 to 507 of the family's 1533-position model. The record is from RNAcentral.